GGCCUAUUGAAUAUAAUUUUAGGUCGAUCUGCCCAAUGAUUUUAAAUUUAAUGGCUGCGGUAUUUUGACUGUACAAAGGUAGCAUAAUCAAUUGUUUUUUAAUUGGAAACUGGAAUGAAAGAAUUAAUGAGAUAUAUACUGUCUCAUAUAUAAUAAAUGAAUUUAAAUUUUUAGUUAAAAUGCUUAAAUUAUUUUAUGGGACGAUAAGACCCUAUAGAAUUUUAUAUUAAUAUAAAUAGUUAUGUUUAUAAAAUUUUUAUAUUAAUAUUUAGUUGGGAGGAUUAGUAAAUUUAAGAAACUUUACUUUAAAUUUAAACUUUGAUUUAAGAAUUUUUUUUUGAUCUUGUAUUAUAAAAAUAAGAGUAAAUUACCUUAGGGAUAACAGCGUAAUAUCUUUUUAAAGGUCAUAUUAAUAAAGAUGAUUGCGACCUCGAUGUUGAAUUAAGAUAAAUUUUAGAUGGAGAAGUCUAAAAAUUAAGUCUGUUCGACUUUUAGAAUCUUACAUGAUUUGAGUUCAAAUCGACGUGAGU
This 530-nucleotide ribosomal RNA is filed under the name Bombus trifasciatus. RNAcentral's name for it is "partial 16S ribosomal RNA". The stretch from base 378 to 530 matches the Rfam family "Bacterial large subunit ribosomal RNA", at positions 2473 to 2626 of the family's 2925-position model. Lineage: Eukaryota; Metazoa; Arthropoda; Insecta; Hymenoptera; Apidae. The record is from RNAcentral.